GAUCAUGGCUCAGGACGAACGCUGGCGGCGUGCUUAACACAUGCAAGUCGAACGGAGUGCUCAUGACAGAGGUUUCGGCCAAUGGAUUGAGUUACUUAGUGGCGGACUGGUGAGUAACGCGUGAGGAACCUGCCUUUCAGAGGGGGACAACAGUUGGAAACGACUGCUAAUACCGCAUGACACAUCGAAGGGGCAUCCCUUUGAUGUCAAAGAUUUUAUCGCUGAAAGAUGG
This 232-nucleotide ribosomal RNA is filed under the name uncultured bacterium. RNAcentral's name for it is "partial 16S ribosomal RNA". It matches the Rfam family "Bacterial small subunit ribosomal RNA", at positions 15 to 228 of the family's 1533-position model. The record is from RNAcentral.